This is a non-coding RNA of Nomia melanderi (Alkali bee), 1269 nucleotides long. The record is from RefSeq and is a predicted model, not a curated record. Lineage: Eukaryota; Metazoa; Arthropoda; Insecta; Hymenoptera; Halictidae.
UACUAUUCGUCUUUUACGUUAGUGCUGACUGAGCUUUGACACGUCCUUAUUGGCCGUCUGCUUUCUUCAUCCCGUGGCCGGGCCAGUAACAAAGAUGUGCCGAUACUAAGUCGGUAUAUCAAUCGAGCCGAGUGCGGCAAGUGAUCGUUUCCCCCUGCCUCCCCAACCGGUUAGGUGAUUUUGCGGUUUUCAGAUGGAAAGUAGGCGAAUUGUAGGUCUAUGGCUUAAGUCUGUAUCAAUGAUCAUCAUUACAAUCAGUGGUGAUUCAUUGCCCUCUUGCGGCAAAUUUAGGAAAAUCUAGUUAGAGUUGCUGGAACCACAGACGAGGUGUAUCGUCUGUGCUGGAACUUUCUUAUCCGGUUCCAGCAAACCAUCUGGUUUUGCGUUUACAAGUCUUGUGUUUUGAUAAGUAUCGUCAUUUUCGAUGAUGUAUUAAAAUCAAUUUUUUACAUGUAACAGUAACAUUGAUGUAGUACACAUUUAUCUAUACUGAUAUUGUUUAGUUAGUGAUAAAAAUGACAUAUUUAAGUUCAUGGGAAGAAUUCGAGAAAGGGGCAGAGAGGUUAUAUCUUCAAGAUCCAAUGAAAACUCGGUAUACAAUGAAAUAUUGCCAUAGUAAAGGUAUCUUAUGUCUAAAACUUACAGAUAAUCGAACGUGCCUACAAUAUAAAACAGAGAUAGCACAGGACUUAAAGAAGAUGGAAAAAUUUAUAGGAAAUUUAAUGAGGCACAUGGCAUCUAAGGAGAGCUAAAUAAAGGACUAGAUAAGAUUAGGGACACUUUUUUUAAAUAAGGAAUAAAAGUGCUGCGCAUUUAAUUCAUUGUUUAUGGUUCAUUUCAUAAGUUUCAGUGACUGAUGGGAUUAUUGAUAUUUAAUUUGAAUGAGGUCGUUCAACGGUCGGUCGUUUCAAAUACCGGGACACCUAAAGGGGAUUCUCGCCGGUGUGACACAGAUAUAUCAAUACACAACGAAUUUCGAUCGGCUUUUGUAAUAGUCUCGAUGCUCCCAGAUACCAACGUUCGUUCGACGAGAGUACACAAUGCAAUUACCACAAACACAAUUACACAACAAAACGUUUAACAGGAUACGGAGGGCACAGACAUGAUACGGACACAGGAGAACGAACGGGGAAUUGCUACGGUUCCGAGGACGUAUACUUCCACGCGGAUACUUCCGUGGAAUAGCAAAAAGCAUCAGUGGGUGCCAGCCAGGAAAUAAAUACACAGGUGCGAAAAGCUGUUAACCUCAUCGAUUUAUUAAGGGUCUGU